Molecule: ribosomal RNA, 429 nt
Filed under: Mammaliicoccus sciuri
Lineage: Bacteria; Bacillati; Bacillota; Bacilli; Caryophanales; Staphylococcaceae
Also listed under: 2 other names
Description: bacterial SSU rRNA
Rfam family: Bacterial small subunit ribosomal RNA
Source: RNAcentral
UAGGGAAUCUUCCGCAAUGGGCGAAAGCCUGACGGAGCAACGCCGCGUGAGUGAUGAAGGUCUUAGGAUCGUAAAACUCUGUUGUUAGGGAAGAACAAAUUUGUUAGUAACUGAACAAGUCUUGACGGUACCUAACCAGAAAGCCACGGCUAACUACGUGCCAGCAGCCGCGGUAAUACGUAGGUGGCAAGCGUUAUCCGGAAUUAUUGGGCGUAAAGCGCGCGUAGGCGGUUUCUUAAGUCUGAUGUGAAAGCCCACGGCUCAACCGUGGAGGGUCAUUGGAAACUGGGGAACUUGAGUGCAGAAGAGGAGAGUGGAAUUCCAUGUGUAGCGGUGAAAUGCGCAGAGAUAUGGAGGAACACCAGUGGCGAAGGCGGCUCUCUGGUCUGUAACUGACGCUGAUGUGCGAAAGCGUGGGGAUCAAACAGG